AAAGUUUUUGUUUAAUUUAGUUAUUUAUAUUUAAUUUAUAAAUUAAUAUAAUAUGUUUUAGUUUUAGUAUAGUAUAUAGGAUAAAUAUUUGUAAAAUGUACUGUAAGGGAUUAAUGAAAUAGUUGAAAUAAUGAAUUAUUAAAAAGUAGGUUAAUUACUGUACCUUUUGUAUCAGGGUUUAUUAAAUUUAUUUAAUUAAUUUAUUUUCUCGAAUUAAAGAGGGCUAAAUUUUUAUAUUUAUUAAAGUAGCAAAUUUAUAUAAAAUAGAAGUUUAGGAAUGAAAUAUUAUUCGUUCUUUAAGAUAUCUAGUUUCUCAAGAAAUGAAUUUAAUUCAGGUGUUAUUAGAAACAAAUUUUUAAAAGGUUAUGUUUUAGUAUAAUGCUAAAUUUAUAGGGGAUAAGCUCUAUGAAUUUCUAAAUAAUUUUAUAUAAAUAAGUUUGUAAGCUUGAAGUUAGCUAUCAAUUAAAGUAUGUAAUAAUUUAUUUAUAGUUAUAUUUAUUUAAAAUUUUAUUAGGUGAAUAUUGGGAUAUCAUUAAAAAUAUUUUUUGGUGAAAAAUAAUGAUGAAAUUAUUAUAAUAUAAAUAAUAAAUUUAUAAUCUUAAGCAAGGAACUCGGCAAUGAUUUUACUCGCCUGUUUAUCAAAAACAUCGUCUUUUGUGUAUAUAGAAGAUAUAACCUGCCCACUGAAGAAGGUUGAAGGGCCGCGGUAUUGUGACCGUGCAAAGGUAGCAUAAUCAUUAGUCUUCUAAUUAAAGGCUGGCAUGAAUGGUUGGACGAGGUAAAAGCUGUCUCAUUUAAGAUAUUUAUAAUUUAACUUUUUAGUGAAAAGGCUAAAAUGAAGUUGUAGGACGAGAAGACCCUAUAGAGCUUAAUAAUGUAAUUAAUAUGAAAUUUAGUAAAGGUUUUAUUAUUAAUAAAGUUAUUUUGUUGGGGUGACAGGAAAAUAAGUAAACUUUUCUAUAAAAGUGACACUAAUGAGUGAAAAUAUGAUCCAUUAUUAAUGAUUAUAAGAUCAAGUUACCUUAGGGAUAACAGCGUAAUCCUUUUUGAGAGUUCUUAUCGACAAAAGGGUUUGCGACCUCGAUGUUGGACUAAGAAAAUAUUUGGGUGUAGAUGUUCAAAUGUUAGGUCUGUUCGACCUUUAAAUUCUUACAUGAUCUGAGUUCAGACCGGUGUGAGCCAGGUUGGUUUCUAUCCUCAAUUAAAAUAAAUAUUUUAGUACGAAAGGACCAAAUAUUUAAGAUAAUCUUUAAAAAAGAAUACUAUU
This 1267-nucleotide ribosomal RNA is filed under the name Ephemera orientalis (oriental mayfly). Its description in RNAcentral is "large subunit ribosomal RNA". The stretch from base 841 to 1202 matches the Rfam family "Bacterial large subunit ribosomal RNA", at positions 2072 to 2648 of the family's 2925-position model. The record is from RNAcentral. Lineage: Eukaryota; Metazoa; Arthropoda; Insecta; Ephemeroptera; Ephemeridae.